UACUUCUCAGCAGCCGCGGUAACACGUAGAUGGCAAGCGUUUUCCGGAAUUAUUGGGCGUAAAGCGCGGGCAGGCGGCCUCUUAAGUCUGAUGUGAAAACCCCCGGCUCAACCGGGGAGGGCCAUUGGAAACUGGGAGGCUUGAGUAUAGGAGAGAAGAGUGGAAUUCCACGUGUAGCGGUGAAAUGCGUAGAGAUGUGGAGGAACACCAGUGGCGAAG
Molecule: ribosomal RNA, 219 nt
Filed under: Exiguobacterium sp.
Lineage: Bacteria; Bacillati; Bacillota; Bacilli; Caryophanales
Description: partial 16S ribosomal RNA
Rfam family: Bacterial small subunit ribosomal RNA
Source: RNAcentral